UGGGGAGAGAAUCUUUGUUAUUCGACGAGGAGAAGUCAUCCUUUCGUAUUAGAUUUCCAUGGAGAUUCGAAUUACUCCCUAGAUCAAGAUACGUUGUUCCGUACGAUGACCUCGAGCAACGAUGUUUUUAAAUGUACGAACGAGAGAAUUCACGUUUCACGAACGUUCGAGUCGAGCAACACGAUCGCCACCUGGUAGCUCCGUUUCCAAACAUACGUGCCGCGCAAGUGAAUUAUUACGAAACGAAUCGGUCUCGCUGUUCGUUCCUGUACGAAUUUCGCAGGAAAUAAACAGGCGAAGAGUUGAGACCGAAAGAAGCAGAGAACUACGAUGAAACGACCGCAUGAAACCGAGGAAGCCGUAGCAAUGGAAAAGAACGGAUGGGCUGACAGUAAUACUCCGAUAAUAUAGAUUACUAUGUCAGCUGUGCGACUCGUAAAAAUAUAAAGUUUCGUCGUGCAACGUCUCUCCGGGAUCGACAAAGUCGGUUGUGUCGGGUUUGCGGAGGAUGUUUCUUUGAGAUUUUAAUUGGUUUUCGCGUGCCCGAUGUUGGAACAAAUCGCGAGUUGCUUUUAAAAGUUUGGAAAAUCGUGACGACGUCGGCAAAAAGCAUUGAGAAUACGUAACAUCGCUGAAUUUAUCGAUCGCAUCGUAAUGGAAUCUAUAUUUGUGGAUUCCAAGAAUUUGAUAUAGCUUUAAGAACUAAUUCAACUUACUUCUAAUAUAACGUAGGAUGUGAAAAUAUUUGAACGACAUUCGUAAGUAACUCUAUAUACGUCAGGUAUAUCACAAUAGUAUUCAACUUCAACAACCGCGUUUAUAAAAAUAAUCGUGAAGAUCCUCUCUUAAACUCGUUAUAAAAGUACCAACAGCAUCUU
This is a long non-coding RNA of Bombus pascuorum, 878 nucleotides long. RefSeq lists it as uncharacterized. The transcript has 3 exons. The record is from RefSeq and is a predicted model, not a curated record. Lineage: Eukaryota; Metazoa; Arthropoda; Insecta; Hymenoptera; Apidae.